CCCUUAGAUGUUCUGGGCCGCACGCGCGCUACACUGAUGCAUUCAACGAGCCUAUCCUUGACCGACAGGUCCGGGUAAUCUUUGAAUCUGCAUCGUGACGGGGAUAGAUUAUUGCAAUUAUUAAUCUUCAACGAGGAAUGCCUAGUAGGCGCAAGUCAUCAGCUUGCGUCGAUUACGUCCCUGCCCUUUGUACACACCGCCCGUCGCUCCUACCGAUGAAUCGUCCGGUGAAGUUCAUGGAGUGGUGGUUGUUCCAGCUGCUGUCGAAGUGAAAUGGACCUCACGAUUUAGAGGAAGGAGAAGUCGUAACA
Molecule: ribosomal RNA, 311 nt
Filed under: uncultured eukaryote
Lineage: Eukaryota
Description: partial 18S ribosomal RNA
Rfam family: Eukaryotic small subunit ribosomal RNA
Source: RNAcentral